CUGGUUUUUGAUUCUACAUCAGCCUUCGAUAUUCUACUUCAUCUUUAAAACUUCACAGCUCAUUCAAGUGCUCCAGUCUGGUUUUUGAUUCUACAUCAACCUUCGAUAUUCUACUUCAUCUUUAAAAGUUAUCAUAGUCAGCCGGAUCCGGUCCGUAUCCAGAUCAGAUGAUGGACCUGCACCCUGAGAC
Long non-coding RNA from Sinocyclocheilus anshuiensis, 190 nucleotides. RefSeq lists it as uncharacterized. The record is from RefSeq and is a predicted model, not a curated record. NCBI's taxonomy places the organism in Eukaryota, Metazoa, Chordata, Actinopteri, Cypriniformes, Cyprinidae. The transcript is spliced from 3 exons.